AGCGGCAGACGGGUGAGUAACGCGUGGGAAUCUACCUUAAGCUACGGGAUAACAGAGAGAAAUUUCUGCUAAUACCGUAUGUGGCCUAUGGGCGAAAGAUUUAUCGGCUUAAGAUGAGCCCGCGUUGGAUUAGCUAGUUGGUGGGGUAAAGGCCUACCAAGGCGACGAUCCAUAGCUGGUCUGAGAGGAUGAUCAGCCACACUGGGACUGAGACACGGCCCAGACUCCUACGGGAGGCAGCAGUGGGGAAUAUUGGACAAUGGGCGGAAGCCUGAUCCAGCCAUGCCGCGUGAGUGAAGAAGGCCUUAGGGUNGUAAAGCUCUUUCACCGGUGAAGAUAAUGACGGUAACCGGAGAAGAAGCCCCGGCUAACUUCGUGCCAGCAGCCGCGGUAAUACGAAGGGGGCUAGCGUUGUUCGGAUUUACUGGGCGUAAAGCGCGCGUAGGCGGAUAGAUAAGUCAGAGGUGAAAUCCCGGGGCUCAACCCCGGAAUUGCCUUUGAUACUGUUUAUCUUGAGUGCAGAAGAGGUAAGUGGAAUUCCGAGUGUAGAGGUGAAAUUCGUAGAUAUUCGGAGGAACACCAGUGGCGAAGGCGGCUUACUGGUCUGCAACUGACGCUGAGGCGCGAAAGCGUGGGGAGCAAACAGGANUNAGAUACCCUGGUAGUCCACGCCGUAAACGAUGGAAGCCAGNCCGUUGG
RNAcentral lists this ribosomal RNA (699 nucleotides) under uncultured Hyphomicrobiales bacterium. RNAcentral's name for it is "bacterial SSU rRNA". It matches the Rfam family "Bacterial small subunit ribosomal RNA", at positions 94 to 827 of the family's 1533-position model. Lineage: Bacteria; Pseudomonadati; Pseudomonadota; Alphaproteobacteria; Hyphomicrobiales. The record is from RNAcentral.